AAAGAACCAAAGUCAACUACUGCCUCUCUGACAUACAUGCAGACUUCCCUUGUUCAUUUCUGGACCUCAAUUUCCUCAUCUACAAUAUGAAGAUAAUAAUCUCUGAUCUGACUACAUUGCAAGAUUAUUAUGAAGAUUAAAUAAGCUCCUCCAGGCAUCCUGAGGGGAAGAUGUAAAGAAUCAGAGCCAGAGGAUAAAUGGUGACUCUGUGGGUCCCGGAAACCCUUCAAGAUCUUUGAAAAUAAGGACUGCUAUAUCAUUCACUAUGUGUAUCCCCAUUCCUAUGCUACAGAGAGAAGAUCUGUCCUCUACAGCCACAGUGGAUAAGGGCAAAUUAGGAAUAAGAAAGAAGCAAUCUUAAGAGCAGAAAGAAAGUUGGGCUGUCCACUGGCAAGAAGGCCGCUAUCUGCAAACCAGGAAGAGAGCCCUCACCAGGAACCACAUUGGUCCACACCUUGAUCUUGGACUUCCCAGCCUUCAGGACCAUGAGAAAUAAAUCUCUGUUGCUUAAGCUGCAGUCUAUGGUAUUUUGUUAUAACAGCCCAAACUGACUAAAACACUAGUGGUGCAGCAUUAUUG
This 579-nucleotide long non-coding RNA is filed under the name Homo sapiens (human). RNAcentral describes it as "HSALNT0203561". Lineage: Eukaryota; Metazoa; Chordata; Mammalia; Primates; Hominidae. The record is from RNAcentral.